This is a non-coding RNA of Podarcis lilfordi (Lilford's wall lizard), 82 nucleotides long. The record is from the annotation of a GenBank genome assembly. NCBI's taxonomy places the organism in Eukaryota, Metazoa, Chordata, Lepidosauria, Squamata, Lacertidae.
GCUUCCUCAUAGCUCAGUUGGUUAGAGUGAGGUGCUGAUAAUGCCAAGGUUGCAAGUUUGAUCCCUGUAAAGCACAGCUGCA